This 253-nucleotide ribosomal RNA is filed under the name uncultured bacterium. RNAcentral describes it as "partial 16S ribosomal RNA". It matches the Rfam family "Bacterial small subunit ribosomal RNA", at positions 524 to 776 of the family's 1533-position model. The record is from RNAcentral.
UACAGAGGGGGCCAGCGUUAUUCGGAUUCAUUGGGCGUAAAGGGUGCGUAGGCGGCGCGGUAAGUCGGGUGUGAAAUCUCGGAGCUUAACUCCGAAACUGCAUUCGAUACUGCCGUGCUUGAGGACUGGAGAGGAGACUGGAAUUUACGGUGUAGCGGUGAAAUGCGUAGAUAUCGUAAGGAAGACCAGUGGCGAAGGCGGGUCUCUGGACAGUUCCUGACGCUGAGGCACGAAGGUCAGGGGAGCAAGCGGG